RNAcentral lists this ribosomal RNA (1555 nucleotides) under Parvulobathynella distincta. RNAcentral describes it as "SSU rRNA". It matches the Rfam family "Eukaryotic small subunit ribosomal RNA", at positions 10 to 1346 of the family's 1831-position model. The record is from RNAcentral. Lineage: Eukaryota; Metazoa; Arthropoda; Malacostraca; Bathynellacea; Parabathynellidae.
GAUCCUGCCAGUAGUCAUAUGCUCGUCUCAAAGAUUAAGCCAUGCAUGUCUAAGUACAGGCCGAUUUAAGGCAAAACCGCGAAUGGCUCAUUAAAUCAGUUAUGGUUCAUUGGAUCUCGCCUCAUCCUACUUGGAUAACUGUGGUAAUUCUAGAGCUAAUACAUGCAGUUGGAGCUCCGACCGCAAGGGAAGAGCGCUUUUAUUAGAUCAAGACCAAUCGGACCUCGGUCCGUCAGCAAAUGGUGGUGAUUUCUGAACAACUUUGGCCGAGCGCACGGUCUCUUCGCACCGGCGCCGCAUCCUUCAAGUGUCUGACUUAUCAGCUAUGUUGUAGGUUAUGCGCCUACCACGGCGAUAACGGGUGACGGGGAAUCAGGGUUCGAUUCCGGAGAGGGAGCCUGAGAACGGCUACCACAUCUAAGGAAGGACAGCAGGCACGCAAAUUACCCACUCCCGGCACGGGGAGGUAGUGACGAAAAAUAACGAUGCGGGACUCAUCCGAGGCCUCGCAAUCGGAAUGAGCACACUUUAAAUCCUUUAGCGAGGAUCUAUUGGAGGGCAAGUCUGGUGCCAGCAGCCGCGGUAAUUCCAGCUCCAAUAGCGUAUAUUAAAGUUGCUGCGGUUAAAAAGCUCGUAGUUGGAUCUCAGUUGAGGAGCGGCGGUCCACCGUGCUUCGGUGUCUUUGACCGCCGGCAACGGCCCCCAUUAGCGGGGUCUCUCCCGACGUAAUGCCAGCCGGUUGCGGCCGGGGUGCCCUUGAUCGGGUGCUCCGGUAUGCAGAGCCCGGCGGGGUUAAAACGCGGGUGCGGGUCCCACCCUCGCUUCCGCCCUUGCGCGCCGCGCAGUGCACGCUCUAGGGCGUCGCCUGUGUCUCGGCUGCGCAGGGGAACCACGGACGGGGAACCAGUGCGCGACCCGCGUCCGUGCCCGUCUCCGGGUCUCUCCCGCCCGGCACGUUUACUUUGAAAAAAUUAGAGUGCUCAGAGCAGGCCGUCGUGUGCCUGAAUGCUAGUGCAUGGAAUAAUGGAAGAGGACCUCGGUCCUAUUCUGUUGGUCUUCGGGAGCCGAGGUAAUGAUUAAUAGGAACGGCCCGGGGGCAUUCGUAUUGCGACGCUAGAGGUGAAAUUCUUGGACCGUCGCAAGACGAACGACUGCGAAAGCAUUUGCCAAGAACGCUUUCAUUAAUCAAGAACGAAAGUUAGAGGUUCGAAGGCGAUCAGAUACCGCCCUAGUUCUGACCAUAAACGAUGCCAACUAGCGAUCCGCCGGCGUCUUUCCUAUGACUCGGCGGGCAGCUUCCGGGAAACCAAAGUCUUUGGGUUCCGGGGGAAGUAUGGUUGCAAAGCUGAAACUUAAAGGAAUUGACGGAAGGGCACCACCAGGAGUGGAGCCUGCGGCUUAAUUUGACUCAACACGGGGAACCUCACCAGGCCCGGACACCGGCAGGAUUGACAGAUUGAGAGCUCUUUCUCGAUUCGGUGGGUGGUGGUGCAUGGCCGUUCUUAGUUGGUGGAGUGAUUUGUCUGGUUAAUUCCGAUAACGAACGAGACUCAAA